GACGAACGCUGGCGGCGUGCUUAACACAUGCAAGUCGAGCGGAAAGGCCCUGCUUUUGUGGGUUGCUCGAGUGGCGAACGGGUGAGUAACACGUGAGUAACCUGCCCUUGACUGUGGGGUAACUUCAGGAAACUGGGGCUAAUACCGGAUAGGAGCUCCUGCUGCAUGGUGGGGGUUGGUAAGUUUCGGCGGUUGGGGCUGGACUCGCGGCUUAUCGGCUUGUUGGUGUAGUAGUGGCUUACCAAGGCUUUGACGGGUAGCCGGCCUGAGAGGGUGACCGGCCACAUGGGGACUGAGAGACGGCGCAGACGCCUACGGGAGGCAGCAGUGGAGAGUAUUGCACAGUGGGCGGAAGCGUGAUGCAGCAACGCCGCGUUCGGGAUGACGGCCUUCUGGUUGUAAACCGCUUUCGACUGUGACGAAGCGUGAGUGACGGUAAUGGGUAAAGAAGCACCGGCUAACUACGUG
This 468-nucleotide ribosomal RNA is filed under the name uncultured bacterium. Its description in RNAcentral is "partial 16S ribosomal RNA". It matches the Rfam family "Bacterial small subunit ribosomal RNA", at positions 28 to 507 of the family's 1533-position model. The record is from RNAcentral.